This 466-nucleotide ribosomal RNA is filed under the name uncultured bacterium. Its description in RNAcentral is "bacterial SSU rRNA". It matches the Rfam family "Bacterial small subunit ribosomal RNA", at positions 917 to 1382 of the family's 1533-position model. The record is from RNAcentral.
GGGCCCGCACAAGCGGUGGAGCAUGUGGUUUAAUUCGAUGCAACGCGAAGAACCUUACCAGGUCUUGACAUCCAGAGAACCUUUAGGAAACUAGAGGGUGCCUUCGGGAGCUCUGAGACAGGUGGUGCAUGGUUGUCGUCAGCUCGUGUCGUGAGAUGUUGGGUUAAGUCCCGCAACGAGCGCAACCCUUGCUAUUAGUUGCUAACAGGUUAAGCUGAGCACUCUAAUGGGACCGCCCGUGACAAGCGGGAGGAAGGUGGGGAUGACGUCAAAUCAUCAUGCCCUUUAUGAUCUGGGCUACACACGUGCUACAAUGGAUGGUACAGAGAGCAGCGAAGCUGUGAAGUGGAGCGAAUCUCAAAAAGCCAUUCUCAGUUCGGAUUGUAGUCUGCAACUCGACUACAUGAAGUCGGAAUCGCUAGUAAUCGCGAAUCAGCAUGUCGCGGUGAAUGCGUUCCCGGGCCUU